RNAcentral lists this ribosomal RNA (1247 nucleotides) under Candidatus Phytoplasma pruni. RNAcentral describes it as "bacterial SSU rRNA". It matches the Rfam family "Bacterial small subunit ribosomal RNA", at positions 153 to 1399 of the family's 1533-position model. Lineage: Bacteria; Bacillati; Mycoplasmatota; Mollicutes; Acholeplasmatales; Acholeplasmataceae. The record is from RNAcentral.
GAAACGACUGCUAAGACUGGAUAGGAAAAGUAAAGGCAUCUUCACUUUUUUAAAAGACCUUCUUUGAAGGUAUACUUAAGGAGGGGCUUGCGACACAUUAGUUAGUUGGCAGGGUAAAGGCCUACCAAGACUAUGAUGUGUAGCUGGACUGAGAGGUUGAACAGCCACAUUGGGACUGAGACACGGCCCAAACUCCUACGGGAGGCAGCAGUAGGGAAUUUUCGGCAAUGGAGGAAACUCUGACCGAGCAACGCCGCGUGAACGAUGAAGUAUUUCGGUAUGUAAAGUUCUUUUAUUAAGGAAGAAAAAAGAGUGGAAAAACUCCCUUGACGGUACUUAAUGAAUAAGCCCCGGCUAAUUAUGUGCCAGCAGCCGCGGUAAUACAUAAGGGGCGAGCGUUAUCCGGAAUUAUUGGGCGUAAAGGGUGCGUAGGCGGUUUAAUAAGUCUAUAGUUUAAUUUCAGUGCUUAACGCUGUUAUGCUAUAGAAACUGUUUUACUAGAGUGAGAUAGAGGCAAGCGGAAUUCCAUGUGUAGCGGUAAAAUGCGUAAAUAUAUGGAGGAACACCAGAGGCGUAGGCGGCUUGCUGGGUCUUUACUGACGCUGAGGCACGAAAGCGUGGGGAGCAAACAGGAUUAGAUACCCUGGUAGUCCACGCCGUAAACGAUGAGUACUAAGUGUCGGGUAAAACCGGUACUGAAGUUAACACAUUAAGUACUCCGCCUGAGUAGUACGUACGCAAGUAUGAAACUUAAAGGAAUUGACGGGACUCCGCACAAGCGGUGGAUCAUGUUGUUUAAUUCGAAGAUACACGAAAAACCUUACCAGGUCUUGACAUUUUCUUGCGAAGUUAUAGAAAUAUAAUGGAGGUUAUCAGGAAAACAGGUGGUGCAUGGUUGUCGUCAGCUCGUGUCGUGAGAUGUUAGGUUAAGUCCUAAAACGAGCGCAACCCUUGUCGUUAAUUGCCAGCAUGUAAUGAUGGGGACUUUAACGAGACUGCCAAUGAAAAAUUGGAGGAAGGUGGGGAUUACGUCAAAUCAUCAUGCCCCUUAUGAUCUGGGCUACAAACGUGAUACAAUGGUUGAUACAAAGAGUAGCUGAAACGCGAGUUCUUAGCCAAUCUCACAAAAUCAAUCUCAGUUCGGAUUGAAGUCUGCAACUCGACUUCAUGAAGUUGGAAUCGCUAGUAAUCGCGAAUCAGCAUGUCGCGGUGAAUACGUUCUCGGGGUUUGUACACACCGCCCGUCA